GACGAACGCUGGCGGCGUGCCUAACACAUGCAAGUCGAACGGUCCGAGAAUAAUAGCUUGCUAGAGUUUUCGGAUAGUGGCGGACGGGUGAGUAACGCGUGAGGACCUGCCGAAUGCCGGGGGACAACAGAUGGAAACGUCUGCUAAUACCCCAUAAGCCUGAGGGUAAAAGGAGGAAUCCGGCAUAUGAGGGUCUCGCGUCCUAUCAGCUAGUAGGUGAGGUAACGGCUCACCUAGGCGAAGACGGGUAGCCGGCCUGAGAGGGCGGACGGCCACACUGGGACUGAGACACGGCCCAGACUCCUACGGGAGGCAGCAGUGGGGAAUAUUGGGCAAUGGGGGCAACCCUGACCCAGCGACGCCGCGUGGGUGAAGAAGUUCUUCGGGACGUAAAGCCCUGUUGCAUGGGAAGAGUAGAAGACGGUACCAUGCGAGGAAGCCCCGGCAAACUACGUGCCAGCCGCCGCCGUAACAC
Molecule: ribosomal RNA, 475 nt
Filed under: uncultured bacterium
Lineage: Bacteria
Description: bacterial SSU rRNA
Rfam family: Bacterial small subunit ribosomal RNA
Source: RNAcentral